GCCGGGUGUGGUAGCACACACCUGCAAUCCCAGCCACUCAGAAGGCUGAGGCAGGAGGAUUGCAAAUUUGAGACUAGUCUCAGCAAAUUAGUGAGACCCUGUUUCAA
Molecule: small RNA, 107 nt
Filed under: Marmota monax (woodchuck)
Lineage: Eukaryota; Metazoa; Chordata; Mammalia; Rodentia; Sciuridae
Source: RNAcentral